AAGCUCGUAGUUGAAUUUCGGCACGAUGAUGGGCUGGUCGGGCGCAAUGCUCUGUACCGUCCAUGUCGUGCUCCUUAUAGGAUACUCACCUCUGUCCUUAACUGGAUGGAGGUAAAACGAGGCGGCGCCGGGGGGUCAACCCUCGACGUCGUCUUGGAGUUCCUAUUCGUUUACUUUGAAUAAAUUAGAGUGUUCAAAGCAGGCAAUCGGGCCUUGAAUACAUUAGCAUGGGAUAGUGGAACAGGAUUGGGGUCCUGAUUUCGUUGGUUUCUAGG
RNAcentral lists this ribosomal RNA (275 nucleotides) under uncultured eukaryote. RNAcentral's name for it is "partial 18S ribosomal RNA". It matches the Rfam family "Eukaryotic small subunit ribosomal RNA", at positions 624 to 856 of the family's 1831-position model. The record is from RNAcentral.